Molecule: ribosomal RNA, 501 nt
Filed under: uncultured bacterium
Lineage: Bacteria
Description: partial 16S ribosomal RNA
Rfam family: Bacterial small subunit ribosomal RNA
Source: RNAcentral
AUUGAACGCUGGCGGCAGGCUUAACACAUGCAAGUCGAGCGGGGGAAGGUAGCUUGCUACCGGACCUAGCGGCGGACGGGUGAGUAACGCUUAGGAAUCUGCCUAUUAGUGGGGGACAACAUCUCGAAAGGGAUGCUAAUACCGCAUACGUCCUACGGGAGAAAGCAGGGGAUCUUCGGACCUUGCGCUAAUAGAUGAGCCUAAGUCGGAUUAGCUAGUUGGUGGGGUAAAGGCCUACCAAGGCGACGAUCUGUAGCGGGUCUGAGAGGAUGAUCCGCCACACUGGGACUGAGACACGGCCCAGACUCCUACGGGAGGCAGCAGUGGGGAAUAUUGGACAAUGGGGGGAACCCUGAUCUAGCCAUGCCGCGUGUGUGAAGAAGGCCUUAUGGUUGUAAAGCACUUUAAGCGAGGAGGAGGCUACUCUAGUUAAUACCUAGGGAUAGUGGACGUUACUCGCAGAAUAAGCACCGGCUAACUCUGUGCCAGCCGCCGCCGUAA